UGGGGAAUAUUGCACAAUGGGGGAAACCCUGAUGCAGCGACGCCGCGUGAGUGAAGAAGUAUUUCGGUAUGUAAAGCUCUAUCAGCGGGGAAGAAAAUGACGGUACCUGACUAAGAAGCCCCGGCUAACUACGUGCCAGCAGCCGCGGUAAUACGUAGGGGGCAAGCGUUAUCCGGAAUUACUGGGUGUAAAGGGAGCGCAGACGGCUAAGCAAGUCUGAUGUGAAAGUCAUGGGCUCAACCCAUGGAUUGCAUUGGAAACUGCGAAGCUGGAGUGUCGGAGGGGUAAGCGGAAUUCCUGGUGUAGCGGUGAAAUGCGUAGAUAUCAGGAGGAACACCGGUGGCGAAGGCGGCUUACUGGACGAUCACUGACGUUGAGGCUCGAAAGCGUGGGGAGCAAACAG
Molecule: ribosomal RNA, 403 nt
Filed under: uncultured bacterium
Lineage: Bacteria
Description: bacterial SSU rRNA
Rfam family: Bacterial small subunit ribosomal RNA
Source: RNAcentral